Molecule: long non-coding RNA, 235 nt
Filed under: Elaeis guineensis (African oil palm)
Lineage: Eukaryota; Viridiplantae; Streptophyta; Magnoliopsida; Arecales; Arecaceae
Description: long non-coding RNA (EGUI_LNC076580)
Source: RNAcentral
UGCAUGCAUGAAAUCAUAAAAUUUUAAUAGUAGUAUCAGAGCCACGUCAUAUACAUAAGAUUAGGAUUUAGAUCUGAAAUCUAUAAAAAAAAAUUUUAGAUCUAAAAAUUUUUUAUGUCGUUCUGACAUAAGGUUGCGCUGGCAUAACUUGUUAUACUGUAUGGUUGUCCUAGAAUGAUAUUAAAAUUUUUGAUUAAAAUAAAAUUUUAGAUCUAAUUUUUUAGCAUAUAUGUGA